CUGAUGUGAAUUCAUGCAUCGGAUUCAUGCUGCUCCACCACAUUUUCGAACGUCAUUUGGUACAACCCUGAGGGGGAAGAACCUCAGGGUCACACUUACUGAGGGAGACCAGGUGGCGUACAGGAAAAAGCACUAAAAUGCUCAAAUUAAAUCUUCCUAGAAUAUAAGUGCUGUGUCAAUAAGAACCAGCUCUACUAUGUCCAUCCUUCGUUCGAGAGGGUUGGUGCUUGUUGCUUUACCAUUGCUGUUAGUGGAGUUGAAGAGUUGGCAAAUUAUGUCCUUCUCUAUUUCUUCAAACUUCCCCUUUAUAUGUUAUCCGAGUCUAUAAAGAACUGGUUUCAUCACCUGAGAUAUCAUCGCCUGCAAUGAGACGAAGUCAACCCCCUUUUCUAGGUCUGCCCCAAGUCCUACCCUGUUCUGACCACGAGACCGUCGUCCAGUACCCCAAGGUCCCACGUCUAAGAUCAUAGGGCUUUUUUACAGCCCUUUUUUAUUCAUAGUCCCAUCUAAGGCGCUUCCACCACUGGAGACGCCUUUGCAUCUAUAACCCAAGCUUUUCUACUCUGUUCGAAUUUUCCACCACCAGAAAUAUGUACAUUUGGGGCAUUCUUUCAAGCGCGCAAAACAGAAAAGGCAACAAAAUUGAUCGAGAAAAAUAUUAAAAAUAGAAAUGCAUCUAAUUUCCCCUACCCAGGAAUGCCAAACUCUGAAUUUCCACAGUUGAGGCCAUUGGUACGGGCCACGCAUAUAUAAAUCCCCAAGAACUCCUGGCAAGACAAUGCGAGUUCUUCUCAGCUCAAGGUAGAGAAGCUCACAUCAGAUGCCGCAAAAAGUCAAAUGAGAUGAUGGCUCUUAGAACUGUGAGUAGCCAAAAUUCAUGAAACCUAUAGGAAGUGAUUAAGUCGACUCAAUCCGUAGUAGCCGCUUGGCCCGACGGCAUGAGAAGAUGGAAAAUGUACUUCUACUUAGACAUUCAACCUUGUGUGGGAGCAUUUCGACGAUCGCAGAGUGAUGCCUUGCUAAUAUCUUUCAAACAUCUUAAUAUUUCAACGAACGAAGACGAGAAAGCCAGCAGAAUCUUUCCAGAUUCAAAAACGAACAACGGACGAAAAGGUGAACGUCAAUAAGAAGACCGACGAACCAGAGGAACUGGAAAUCAAAUGAACCGUACACAACGAACACAACUGAUUCUCCUACCAAAUUCACUCUUCUCGACUCCAUUUUUUAGCCGGCCACCAGGACUCAGAGAUCCGCCUCUCCGUCCGCGCCACGGUGCGCGCUAUCCGUACGCCCAACAACUCCAAGCAAGCCACGGCCGCCUUCCCGCGCCGGCGAAGCUGCGAUCGCAGCGACGGCAGCGUUCUCGAUCAAUGUGGCCGAUACCUGUGCGAACCCCGGCCAGCCGUCAGGAGCAGAGAUCUGGCCUCUCCUCAAAGAAGUAUCCAAGGACCAACCCCACUGUACUGAUUUUCCCGCGGCAUAUUAUCCCCCCUCUCUCUCUCUCUCUCUCUCUCUCUCUCUCUCUCUCUCUCUCUCUCU
This 1539-nucleotide long non-coding RNA is filed under the name Spirodela polyrhiza (greater duckweed). Its description in RNAcentral is "long non-coding RNA (SPOL_LNC000731)". Lineage: Eukaryota; Viridiplantae; Streptophyta; Magnoliopsida; Alismatales; Araceae. The record is from RNAcentral.